UACGGAGGGGGCAAGCGUUGUUCGGAAUUACUGGGCGUAAAGGGCGCGCAGGCGGCUGCUCAAGUCAGGCGUGAAAGGCCUGGGCUCAACCCGGGAAUUGCGCUUGAGACUGGGCCGGCUUGAGUGCGGGAGAGGAUGGUGGAAUUCCCAGUGUAGAGGUGAAAUUCGUAGAUAUUGGGAAGAACACCGGUGGCGAGGGCGGCCAUCUGGACCGCAACUGACGCUGAGGCGCGAAAGCGUGGGGAGCAAACAGG
RNAcentral lists this ribosomal RNA (254 nucleotides) under uncultured bacterium. RNAcentral's name for it is "partial 16S ribosomal RNA". It matches the Rfam family "Bacterial small subunit ribosomal RNA", at positions 524 to 776 of the family's 1533-position model. The record is from RNAcentral.